Molecule: ribosomal RNA, 919 nt
Filed under: uncultured bacterium
Lineage: Bacteria
Description: bacterial SSU rRNA
Rfam family: Bacterial small subunit ribosomal RNA
Source: RNAcentral
CGCCCUUAGAGUUUGAUCCUGGCUCAGGAUGAACGCUAGCUACAGGCUUAACACAUGCAAGUCGAGGGGCAGCAUGGUCUUAGCUUGCUAAGGCCGAUGGCGACCGGCGCACGGGUGAGUAACACGUAUCCAACCUGCCGUCUACUCUUGGACAGCCUUCUGAAAGGAAGAUUAAUACAAGAUGGCAUCAUGAGUCCGCAUGUUCACAUGAUUAAAGGUAUUCCGGUAGACGAUGGGGAUGCGUUCCAUUAGAUAGUAGGCGGGGUAACGGCCCACCUAGUCUUCGAUGGAUAGGGGUUCUGAGAGGAAGGUCCCCCACAUUGGAACUGAGACACGGUCCAAACUCCUACGGGAGGCAGCAGUGAGGAAUAUUGGUCAAUGGGCGAGAGCCUGAACCAGCCAAGUAGCGUGAAGGAUGACUGCCCUAUGGGUUGUAAACUUCUUUUAUAAAGGAAUAAAGUCGGGUAUGGAUACCCGUUUGCAUGUACUUUAUGAAUAAGGAUCGGCUAACUCCGUGCCAGCAGCCGCGGUAAUACGGAGGAUCCGAGCGUUAUCCGGAUUUAUUGGGUUUAAAGGGAGCGUAGAUGGAUGUUUAAGUCAGUUGUGAAAGUUUGCGGCUCAACCGUAAAAUUGCAGUUGAUACUGGAUAUCUUGAGUGCAGUUGAGGCAGGCGGAAUUCGUGGUGUAGCGGUGAAAUGCUUAGAUAUCACGAAGAACUCCGAUUGCGAAAGGCAGCCUGCUAAGCUGCAACUGACAUUGAGGCUCGAAAGUGUGGGUAUCAAACAGGAUUAGAUACCCUGGUAGUCCACACGGUAAACGAUGAAUACUCGCUGUUUGCGACAUACAGCAAGCGGCCAAGCGAAAGCGUUAAGUAUUCCACCUGGGGAGUACGCCGGCAACGGUGAAACUCAAAGGAAUU